Molecule: long non-coding RNA, 1073 nt
Organism: Parus major (Great Tit)
Lineage: Eukaryota; Metazoa; Chordata; Aves; Passeriformes; Paridae
Exons: 2
Source: RefSeq, a predicted model, not a curated record
GUAAGAAAGAAAAAGUCAACUAGUUUAGGAAGCUUCUAAGUAACACUUCAGCUAUUUUUUGAAGUGACAGGUGAAAAAAGUUUAAAAAUUGACGUAGGGAUGUCAUUCUGUGAAACUCCAUGGGAUUCUUAAACAUGCAUUAUUCACAAGGGAGUGCUGAAGAGGUACUUGUCACACUUUGUGUAACGCAUAAAUUUGGAAGGAAAAGCAGACCAGGAGCUGGAGGUUUAGUACCACAGAUGUACAUGUAUAGAGAACUGUAAAAGAAUUUGGAUUGAAAAGGACUUCUGGAGGUCAUCCAGUCCAAACUGCUGCUUCAAGCAGGGCUGACUUCUAAGUUGUUAAAUCAGGUUGCUCUGGAGCUUGCUUUAUACACCACAUUUUAAAUCCAACUUACAAAGAAACCUUUUCAUCAAAACUGGAAUGCAAUUAUCAGUCUGAAAACGUUAAGCGCAGUGCCGCCCCACUGUAAGGAGUCCAUUAGGAUAAAAGCAUUCCAGAACUUUGCUGUGUGAGCAUUGAAAUGAAACGCUUGCUCUUUACCACUUUCAAUCAAACGGGCACCUGGACUCCAAGCAGUCACUUUGGCCAGGAUUCACCUCAUCUAAACGUCACCAUGUGGUCUUGCUGUGUCAUUUAGGUUACCAAUGGUUGGCAGAGAGAUACAAGUCUCUCAGGGGAGAAUUUCCUCCUGAUAGCUCCAAGGAUGAAGCGGAUGAAGGCCUCUUCACUGAAAACAGAAGCCUCAACAACAACCUACUGCGAUCUCAUGCCCAAAUUUAGGCAGCUACCUAAAAGUUGGACAAGGUGUUCUGAGUUUUGGUCAAGAUAGCUCUAGAGGUUGUGCACCGAGUCAGAAGACAGGGAAAUGAGAAGAGACCCCAAGCAAAGCAGCCUAAUCACAGGCUCAAAGCUGUUCUGCUACAUAUAGUUUAAUCAGCCCAGUGAAUGAUUUGAGCAUAGUGUUGCUGUAACUCUGCUUCUCUUUGACAUCCACACUAAUGGAAUCCACCUUAAAUGGCUUGGUAUAGUUAAAUGCAACAAUAAAACCAAAAACCUAUAAGUUAAAACAA